Molecule: ribosomal RNA, 330 nt
Filed under: uncultured eukaryote
Lineage: Eukaryota
Description: partial 18S ribosomal RNA
Rfam family: Eukaryotic small subunit ribosomal RNA
Source: RNAcentral
CCCUUCGAUGUUCUGGGCCGCACGCGCGCUACACUGAUGCAUUCAACGAGUCUAAAACCUGGUCUGAUAGGGCUGGGUAAUCUUUUGAAUGUGCAUCGUGAUUGGGAUAGAUGAUUGCAAUUCUUCAUCUUCAACGAGGAAUGCCUAGUAAACGCAAGUCAUCAGCUUGCAUUGAUUACGUCCCUGCCCUUUGUACACACCGCCCGUCGCUCCUACCGAUUGAAUGUUCCGAUGAAUACCAUGGACUGAGAGUAUGAAUGGGUUCGCCUAUUUCUGCUUCUCGGGAAGUGGAGUAAAUCUUAACAUUUAGAGGAAGGAGAAGUCGUAACA